Molecule: long non-coding RNA, 5629 nt
Organism: Oncorhynchus tshawytscha (Chinook salmon)
Lineage: Eukaryota; Metazoa; Chordata; Actinopteri; Salmoniformes; Salmonidae
Source: Ensembl
GGCCCAGCCCAGAAAGCAGUGGGGUUUGGGAAAAAGCAGGAAAAGGGUGCAACUGUAGAGGGCUAUCAGCAAAAAGCAACUAUUUUGUCAAGCAAAGUGUGACUUUGAUUGCUUGCUACCUCUCUGCAAGACUUUUACAAACAUUUUAAAUGUUCCUCUCUAGUGAACGUCAGCAUCGAAGUGCACUAGGACAUUACAGUAGGUGACUUCGUUUGUGACCUUACCGGGCUUAAAAAGAUGACCCGAUGGGACAGUAGUGGAGAGGGUAGUAAGUUUUAAGUUCCUCGGGGUACACAUCACAGACAAACUGAAUUGGUCCACCCACACAGAAAGCGUGGUGAAGAAGGCGCAGCAGCGCCUCUUCAACCUCAGGAGACUGAAGAAAUUCGGCUUGUUACCAAAAGCACUCACAAACUUUUACAGAUGCACAAUCAAGAGCAUCCUGUCGGGCUGGAUCACCGCCUGGUACGGCAACUGCUCCGCCCACAACCGUAAGGCUUUCCAAAGGGUAGUGAGGUCUGCACAACGCAACACCGGGGGCAAACUACCUGCCCUCCAGGACACCUAAACCACCCGAUGUCACAGGAAGGCCAUAAAGAUCAUCAAGGACAACAACCACCCGAGCCACUGCCUGUUCACCCCGCUAUCAUCCAGAAGGCGAGAAAAUGAGGACAACACUUCAGCGAAAACACUCUGGCAAAUCGGCAAUGACAAAGGCCUUCAGCAAACCGAAGGGCCACAGCAGGGAUGGCGUCCCAGUCCCAUCACCAAGAGCACGGCUGAUCCAAAGCCUAACGUCCCAGAGUGCAGAGUUUGUGAUGGAGGAGCACAUGCAGCUCAGCACUGGACUGUAGACCCAAGAGAGACACUUUUCAGUGACACACUCAUCAUCACUAAAUCAAAGUCUUCCUCAAGCCUCAAACUGAAGGAGAGUGUGAGGCUGUGUGAGAUGUGGUUGGGUUCUUGCAUUGAAGAGGAUGAUGAGAGAACUGACCUCAAAGAACUCCUUUGUCAUUGGCUGGCCUACCACCAAUUACGUGGUGACUCUCAGAUAGGCUACUCCAAUCAUUAAAAUAAAUUUUUCAAUUGCCAGAAAAAUAGAUUAAAAUUAACUUGGGGGGGUAAGAUGACAUUUGUUUUCCCAAUCAGUUCAUCUGAUUGAGAAAUGGAGAAAUGGCUUUCAUCUUUACAACGGCACAUCACCAAAUCCAAGAAAGUGGAAUAUCCCAGCAAUCUAACCAUGAAGGUUGUUCUCAUAAAUAUUGGAACUAGUGCAAUGGUUGCAGCUCUCGUUCAACAUCUCAUUGAAAACACCCCAGCCAUUUUUGGUGAAGAUGUUGAGUGCAUUUUUACUGAGCCAAAGAAAGAACAAGGAACUGCAGAGGAUGUCAUGGUGGAGUCUUACCAGCAGGUCGACUCGUCUGAUUAUUGGGACUGAGAGAAGCAAGAAGGACUUCACUCUCCUAACAGGGAACCUUUUUCCUGCCAUUGGAGAAACUGGUCUUGAAAGAGAUUUUGGGGCUUCUGAAUGAGGUUGACUCCUUGAAAAAGCAACAUGUGACUGAGGACAGUGCUUAUAGCUGUGGGAAUCUAGACUUAAUGUCUUCCCUCUCCAGUAGGUCUAUCUGCUCCCUGAUGGGGACACAACGUUUUUGCUCAGCUCGCUGCUCCUCGCUGCUCCCAUUGUGUGUCUAAGCUCCCCCCGGUUAGGGUCCCACAGCCAGCUCUACACUCUUGUCGCCCGCCAGUCCAGCUGCGAUGCAGCAGUGAUGUGUGGCCGUGCAGACCACUCCCAACACACACACACAAAUCCCACACUUAAGGGGCUACUAAAGUGGGACAGCAGCCCCAGGGUAGGUGGCAGCAAGUCUAGGUAUGCCUUCUGGAGGUCCCCUCAUGUAGCCUCGAGGUUCUGGCACCUUUCCCAGAGGCUGGCCGUGUCCAACAGGUCCAGUUUCUCCAGCCUGUCCUCCACAGGCACCUCUCCAUCUACCUCCUCUCUGAGCUCCAAAGACAGCGCCUUCUCCUUCUGCACCGACUCUGUGUCCUCUCCCAACGAGCCCAACUCCCUCCCCUUCCUGUUCGGCAUGUCGGCACGGUUAUGCCCUCUCACUCCAGACACCACAAAGAAAUUCCCAAAAGAUUGGAGUAUGACAUUCCCAGUGGCAGUUGCUCAGGCACCCAAGGAUUUGGACGGGUAUAAUUGGUCUGAUGAGAGAAAGGGAGACUAGAAGCAUUGCCAUUCUAUUAGCAUUCAGAAUAGAGAAGACCACCAGAUGCUCACCCAAAGCCUCUGUAGUUUAAAAGGUGAGUAUAUUUAAAGCCCUGUCUCUCAACCAGACAGUGAAAGGAUUCUCUCUGAUUGGAGAGGGGAGCAGGUGCACCAGAGCCAGAAGGAUAAAGUGUUCAAGUUGUCAGAGUCAAAAGGACAGACCAAAGAAACAUCCAUUGCACACAUACAGCUGACAAAUAAAAAAAACUGUCUGUCAAGAAGGAAGGGGACGAAAGGGGACGAAAAUUACAUUUUACACCUCCUCUAACAGAAUGCUGGUGAAAAAACAGUCUGAUCAAUCUGUGGAACAGUGUGGAGUCGCUCUGGUAUCUGACACAGGGAGACCACAUCAGGAAAAUGGGGAACUGCUGGCCCAAAGUGUGCAGCUCCACAUACCCCAGACAGUGUCCUAUGGUCAAAACACUCCACUGGUCCUGCAGUCUGUCAACCAGACAAUUUGCAAAUAACAAGAAAGGAUCAAAGGCCAAAACAGAUAUUCACCUUGGUGAAGUGGUCCCUGAACAGUUGGGUGGUGGGUGCACUCCUCUCUCCCACACAUCAUCUAAAACUCAUGCCAAAACUGCAAGCACAAUCAGCCACAAGACUGCAAGCACAAUCAGCCACAAGACUGCAAGCACAAUCAGCCACAAAACCGCAUGUGCAAUCAGCCACACUAUUAGAAUAAAACUGCAAGCAACUGUCAGAAAUACUGUGAGAGAAUACUUCAACUCAAGUGACAGCCAGAAUGGCCACUUAGAUGCAAAACGGAACGAAAAAGAGCUCCUCCAGUGGCAAAAUAAAAUGUUGGAACCAACAGAAAAUGCCACAAUGCGAUCACAUGGUGAGGAGUUGCCUGAUUGUUAAUGCUCAUCAUUUGGUGUUUUGUAAUGGGCUGUCAGAAUGUAGAUCAUCCUGGGUUAUUUCACCCUCCUCUGUGUGUGUAUUUUUUGCUAAAUUAUAAAUUAAGUCAAUGAAGGAUCCCACUGGGCAUAGACAUCAGUUCAAAGUCUAAUUUUGAUUAACUUUAAGUUGAGUUGUCAUCUAAGGUGAAUUCAACAUGAAAUCAAGAAAACAUUUCACCAUGUCAUUGGAUUUAGGUUCAAAAUUAGGUUCGAAAUUAGGUUCGAAAUUAUCUUAUAUUGAUGACUUUUUGCAAAUCCAAUCAGUUUUUACACAUGGAUUCAACAUCAUCACAUUUCAUUUUUUGGUUGAAAUUAUGUGGAAACAACAUUGAUUCAACCAGUUUUUGCCCAGUUGGAUGGUGCAGAUUGAAUGCAGGCACUCAAACCACUCAGACAGAGCAUUUCCUCCAAUGGAGUAGGGAUUCAUAACCUUAAUCAUUUUCUAUACAGAAGCAUUAUGAAUAAGGACCAGACAUCUUGACAUCACUGUGAUGUAUGUGUUUCCUAAUGGGGCUGUGAUAAUCUGUCGGUGAAAAAGUAAAAACAACCAAAUUUGAGGCAAAUUAGGUAUAAGAUGCACAACUUGUAUAUGGGCAAACACAUCUUAUAUUCAGUAGUUCUUCUCGGGUGUAUGUAAAGAAACCUAAGAUGACCUGGGGUACUAGUGUAAGAAAUAACACGUAAAAAAACAAAAAACUGCAUAGUUUCCUAGGAACGCGAAGCGAGGCGGCCAUCUCUGUCGGCGCCGGAAGCGAGAUUGUAUGGUGUGCAACACAUAUUCCUGCUGUAUAGUUAACAUCUGGUUAAUAAGUAAUCACCUACUUCUCACUUUUAUUGCUAAAGAAAAAUGACCAACGUAAAUCACAUUGCAUAUAGUGAGUUAAAAUGUUUGUUUUGUUUUUGCACAGUUCAGUGCUAUUUUGCAUUUGCAAAAUGAAGCCUCAUGUAUAGAUCUCAUUUAGACGCAUUGAUAUAACGGUCUUAAACACAUAAUAACAUAUACUGUACCACUUUUACCACAUCAUUGUUUGUUUUUAUGUAUGUUUUAUCCUAGAACUGUAACUUUGAACAAUAAUCAUAUGUAGCGUUAACCUUGAUAUCAACGUGUGUGUGUGUGUGUGUGUGUGUGUGUGUGUGUGGGGGGAUUUGCACCUCUUCACCCCUGUACGAGCUUAUGUUGAUGGCACCACUGAUAAUAAAUCAAGUUAGCCCUAAACAUCUCUGAAUCUCUGAGUAUGUUUUCCCAUGCCUUCUCAGUCCCAGGGUCCUAGGCAUAAUGUUUCCUUUUAUUUCUUUAUUGAGUUUAUUUAUUGAGUUUAUUUGAGCAAGGACAAUGUACAUCAGAAGCAUUAGUCUCAGUACACUUGAGAAAAUAUGUGUUGUAUCAGAUUUAGCUAGCAGCUCAUUUCCGUCUGCAGUUCCAGGGCAGGUUAAAAUCAAAACAAGAAAACAUUAUGAAGCCAGCAGGCUGGAUGCCUUGUUACAGAGCUACAAACAAUGAUUUGUAACACUUAACUUACUAUUUCUAAUUACAGAAAUGACUUCUAAAGGCAUGCUACUUUAGGCAAUGGCCCGCUGCUGGCAGUAUUUUCUUUUUAAUGCUAUGUACCGUUAACAUGUAAUUGCUACAACUGAUUCUACAACCGAACCUACUUCAAGCUAGUUGAUUGAUAGGGCAAAGGGUAGUGAUAUGUUCCUGAGUGAUAUGUUCCUGGGGAUGUUUGAUUAUUAUUAGACUUCGUACAAUAGGUGCGAGGGGCAGCAAGUUGCAUGAAGGAUCACUGGCUGCCUUUAGAUCCCACAGCGUCCCUCAACUAUUGGGGCACGUGGACAGUCAUACCAUCCAUCCACUUCUGCACUGUCACAUGGCAACCAAGAUGGGACCUGUCAAUCAGAAGCAGAUUAAAAGGCUCAGACAUAUAGUUUCAGAAGCAGAUUAGGCUCAGACAGAUAGUUUCAGAGCAUUUACAUAGACAACUUCAGAUUUGUUUUAAACUGAAUUACUGAAUUUACUGCAACCUGUUGCUUCUACGUCAGUUCAGCAGUCAGGCCCUGUCUGGAGUAAAUCAAGAAAAUAUGUGUGUGCUUGUUUUGCUGGGGCCUUGAUCAAGUAUGUAAAUCAUAACAUUUCGACAAGCAAACACAUGUAAAUUGUUUAUGUAACCUAGUACCAUCAUCUUUGAAAUGCAAGAGAAAGGCCAUAGUGUAUUAUUCCAGCCCAGGUACAAUUUAGAUUUUAGCCACUAGAUGGUAUAGGUGUAUGUGCAAAGCUUUAAACUGAUCCAAUGAACCAUUUCAUUUCUGAUUAAAAUGUUGUAUCAAGAGUGCCCAAAUGUGCCUAAUUUGUUCAUUAGUAACUUUUCAUGUUCAAAAUUGUGCACUCUCCUCAAGCAAUAGAAUGGUAUUAUGUCAGUGUAAUAGCUACUGUAAAAUGGACAGUGCAGUUAGAUUAACA